This is a long non-coding RNA of Thunnus maccoyii (southern bluefin tuna), 692 nucleotides long. RefSeq lists it as uncharacterized. The transcript is spliced from 4 exons. The record is from RefSeq and is a predicted model, not a curated record. NCBI's taxonomy places the organism in Eukaryota, Metazoa, Chordata, Actinopteri, Scombriformes, Scombridae.
AGCAGUUGAAGCUGAGGAAAGGCCGUACACAACGCCUUUCCUAUACUUCAUACAAACCUCCAUCUAUUGUUCACAGUAUGGCUUUAAUCAUGUUAAACAACUGGGUCAAAUGACAGCGCACAGUGAACAACAGUAUAUGGCGUGUUGAAAUCAAUGCAGGAUCACAGCUAUCUUCUGAGUUCACCUGCUCUGUGCAUUGCUCAGGAAGAGCUGGCACCCUCCAAAUUCUGCAUAUGUGACUAAAGUCCUGUCUAGACAGGAUUAGUUUUACUGGAUUAUCAGAAACAUGACGGUAAAGCAACAUUCUAAAACUGAAUCUCUACAAUAAGGACAGCUCUUCAGACAGCUCCACAUCUUCUAAGAUCAGUUACCAAUGCUCUGUGUUCUGCUGUUUCAUGGUGGGGAGGCAGCAGUUGGAGCAGAGAAGCCUGCAGGCUCAGCAAAGUGGUAAAAAAGACUUUUUUCUGUCAUGGGGCUGAGGCUAGACUCCCUUGAGGCAGAAGGGAGAUGGGAGGGUUUCACAGGAAAACUGUCCAGCACGUAAUCUUUGCUGAGAUAAUGUUUCUGCAUAGAUGGUUACACUUUUUCCACCAUAAACAAUGAGACAAAGAGUUUUUACCAUCCUCAGAUGAUGCAUAAUGUGACUUUGAGGAAUGACAGACAGGCUGGUGGCUCAGUUCUGUUGUGUUUGU